Molecule: long non-coding RNA, 1664 nt
Organism: Lolium rigidum
Lineage: Eukaryota; Viridiplantae; Streptophyta; Magnoliopsida; Poales; Poaceae
Exons: 3
Source: RefSeq, a predicted model, not a curated record
CUCUAUCUAGCGACUGUGGUGCAGUUCACAUCUGACACUGGUGCAGUUCACUAUUAGCCAUGGGUCGGUUCAGUUUGUUGUUGUUUGCACAAUGCACUUGAUUGUUCCCUGGCACUUCACUCAAGUCAACUCAGGAAGUCCACCCACCACCGCCCCGAGAGUCCACUGCUUCAACUAAGGCAGUUGAGAGUCUCCUGUGCCCAGGUCAACUUUCUACUCCCGGUGCUGAUCAAUAUGAAUUGUGGUUGCUACUUUGGUUUUCUUAUGCGCAUAUAGUACUAAGUGAAUUGAGUUUCUUCUGCACAUAAUAGUUGUAUGGUGCACAUAAUAGCUCCGUGUUAGCCGGCGAACAUUGCUGUCUCAGGUUCGUUUACUCUUGUGAGUAAGUUCAUUUUCUGGGCAAGUUCAUUUUAUUACUGAAGUUCACUUUCUCUCUCCAUUGAAGUAAGGCUUUAUAUUGUCAUGAAGUUCAGUUUAUCCACGUAUAAGUUGAAGGUUUAUUGACCACCGGUAUUUGUAUGAACUCUGAUUAAAAAUACUUCAAAAUAGCAGUUUGCAUGAUUAUUUGAAGCAAUUCACUAAUGGUGAGGUUCACUUCAAAUCCAAAGCUUUAAUGUGUAGUCAACUACUUCCAUGUAAUUUUUAUUCUGUGCAAUUAUUGAGAAGAAGAGAGAUGCGAGAUUGAUGGAACAUUAAUUGAAACAGGGGAACACAUUUAGAAAAAAUUGGUCCGCCGGUCUGUGAAGUUCACUAUGUUUGGACGGAAAAGUUCAUUUCUAUGUUCAUUUGUCGUUUUUGUCUAGUGGUCUGUAACUUUUUUCCAUCAUGUGCAAUGUUGAAUGUGAGAGAUUAACCGGAUGCAAAAAAAAAAAUGAUUAUUAGGAAGAUUGCUUUAGUGCGACAUGAAGUUUGGUCUCCCAGGUGCGUGGCUGUGGACUCCUAUGAGCGCCGCCGUGGUCCCCUAGGCAGACCACUACCAGUUAACUUCACUCACAUCAUGGAAGCAAUAAUGUGUCAGGAGUCCAUGGCUUCGGCGAGUCUCUCAUGCCCAGGAACAACACUUGGAGCUCCCUUAAGAUGGCGUUUGGUGUACCUUUGAAGCCAUGGUCCUAAGCUUCUCCAAACCACCCCGUUCCCUGCCUCACUGGUCUCACUCCUGUACUCGUCUGGUUGACCGUGCCUUCCACCGAUGGGAGUUCACAAAGCCGCGUGUAGGAGUUCAUUGGCACCAGCACUUUCGGGCUCAUACGCGCACCUCGCCAAUGACAUGGCUGCCAUCCCAAGCUCUCGGCCUUACACAACGGGGGCGGCUCACAGACAACAACGAGUCCAGGCUCAUUACACAGCAGCAGCCCCCCAGCAGCAUACCAAUGAUGAGGCAGCACACUGCAUAUUUUUACAAGUAGCGGACAAUCCUAUAUGCGCACAACUAGUACCUGAUGUGGUUAGCUUCAGUUUUUUUAUAUUUUGGCUCUUGCCUAGAAAGUUCUGUAACACACCCUAAUUGAUUCUCUCUGUAAUUGAAUAUUUGCAUCAAUCGGUUCAUCGGCUUCAAAUAGAAAAAGAAGUUCACCUCGUCCCCAUAUGAAGUUAGCUUAUUUUUAUUUUGGAAGUUUGUUUUGUAUACUGAUAUUUUGUAUUUUGUGAUGCUGCUAGCUAUUUGU